UCGCGUCCGCCCGCCGGGAGCCGCGGGGCGCGCAGCCUUCCUGAUGUGUCACCAGCACGUGGAGCUAGCUAGGGCUGAGCGAGCGGGCGGAACUCCCCCAACUUUCGAGGGGUCUCGCCGCCCAGCUCCUCUCCCCGCAGCGCCGGGCUCGUGCUCUUUGGGGAGGGGGCGGCAGCGGCCCCCGGGUCCCGGCAUGUUGAGCGAGGCCCCGGCCCCUGGCCCGGCGCGCGCGGGACAGCGGGACGUCGGGGCAUAGGGUCCGGCCGCAGCUACUUCCCCGUUGGCGGAGGCGAUCCCGGCUCUGCGGUGCGGGAGGGCGCGGCCUGCGGUGGGAGGUGCCCUGCCGGCGGCUCGGCCCCAGCCCCGCGGAUCAGAGCGCAGGUGCAGACUCAACAAGCUCUGGUCACCGGAGAAGAUGGCUGUUUGCAGGACCCUGACCACAAGACUAUCCUUCUGGGCAGCCUGGCCCCUUGCUUCUUAGGCUCUGGUCAUCUCUCCACACCAGCUGUCCCAGAGGCCACUUUAGACGGCUGGGUUUGCUCAGGAGCCUCAGCGUUCUCUGUCCAGGAGAAGGGACAGUGUCAAGGAGUACUCCAGCAGAGAACCCUGGGAGGUGUCUAGCAUGGAGAAGAUGCUCUCUUAAUGAUCACCUCUCACCCCCUUCAGCUUUAGAGGCAGGCACGGAUCCCAGGAUGGACACGGAGACCGCCCCUUGGGGGUUUUGCAGCAACUAUGGGGAAAGAGGCAUUUGUUGUUUGUGCAAUUUGCCAGGUUGAUGGAAUGGCUGGUCACCAUCCUGUUCUCUACUUGAGGUUGAAGCCAACAAAGAAGAAAAAGCUCAGAGAUGGAGAGAAUAGGCUAUCUGGAUAUCAGUGAGCCCCUGGAUCCAGCCAUGCCUGAAGCUAACCACACCUCUGGAUUAACCUGAUUAUAUGAGCCAAUGCAUGUCUCUUGCUCAAAUCAUCCUGAGUUGGGUUUCUGUCUUAGAAAGGGUCCUGAUAAAUCAGUUCUGAGGUAUACUUGACAUGCCAUAAAACCUACCCAUUUUGUUUACCGCCAUUGAGAUAGAGAACAUUUCAAGCUCUGGGACCACCCCUGAUCUGCCUUGGUUAUGGAGAUUGAUUUUGUCUUUUCUAGAAAUUCCUAUAAAUAUGAUCGUUUAGUGUGUACUCUUUUGCGUCUGGCUUCAUUCCGCAUGUCUUUGAGAUUCACCCAUGCUGUGUGCCUUAGUAGUUCAUGCCUUACUUCUGAGAAGCCUUCCACCGUGGGGAUGUACGAGUUUGUGCAGCCAUUUAUAAGAUGGUGGAUAGUCAGGCUGUUCCCAGAUUGUGACUAUUAUGAAUAAAACUGUUUUUGAACACUGAA
Molecule: long non-coding RNA, 1365 nt
Organism: Lutra lutra (Eurasian river otter)
Lineage: Eukaryota; Metazoa; Chordata; Mammalia; Carnivora; Mustelidae
Exons: 4
Source: RefSeq, a predicted model, not a curated record